CAGCAGCCGCGGUAAUACGUAGGGUGCAAGCGUUAAUCGGAAUUACUGGGCGUAAAGCGUGCGCAGGCGGUUAUAUAAGACAGAUGUGAAAUCCCCGGGCUCAACCUGGGAACUGCAUUUGUGACUGUAUAGCUAGAGUACGGCAGAGGGGGAUGGAAUUCCGCGUGUAGCAGUGAAAUGCGUAGAUAUGCGGAGGAACACCGAUGGCGAAGGCAAUCCCUUGGGCCUGUACUGACGCUCAUGCACGAAAGCGUGGGGAGCAAACAGGAUUAGAUACCCCUGUAGUCCCUGUCUCUUAUAC
Molecule: ribosomal RNA, 301 nt
Filed under: uncultured bacterium
Lineage: Bacteria
Description: partial 16S ribosomal RNA
Rfam family: Bacterial small subunit ribosomal RNA
Source: RNAcentral